Molecule: long non-coding RNA, 3580 nt
Filed under: Sus scrofa (pig)
Lineage: Eukaryota; Metazoa; Chordata; Mammalia; Artiodactyla; Suidae
Description: lncRNA (ENSSSCG00055016644.1)
Source: RNAcentral
GAACCCCCCUUCACUGGGCUGCGAUCAAAGGACAUCUGGAGGUGCUGCAGCUCCUGAUAGACCACGGAGCCAGGCCCUGCCUGGUCACUGAUGUGGGCUGGACCCCAGCUCAUUUUGCAGCUGAGUCGGGCCACCUGCAUGUGCUCAAAACGCUGCACGCGCUGCACGCCGCCAUCGAUGCCCCGGACUUCUUUGGAGACACGCCGAAGAGGAUCGCGCAGAUCUACGGGCAGAAGGCCUGUGUGGCCUUCCUGGAGAAAUGACAGAGGUGCCCUGGCUGUGUACAGAAGGCAGAGGAGAGGUCCCUCCGCAGGCCAGGCAGGCUGUCUGGUCCCCAGAUUGUGGGCUGAGAGCUGGCUCCCUUCUUCUAGGGCUGAGCCUCAGUGCCGGGACCACCGCCAGGCUGCCAGGCAGAAGGGGCUGCAGCUGGAUCAGCGGGACGAAGACUGGGAUGCCAAGAAGAGGGAGAUGGAGCUGUCGCUUCCUUCCUGGAAUCCAAACCCUGAGAAGAAAAAGAGUAAGAAACAUCGAGGGUCCACCAAGCUCAGCAACACUAAGGAGAGGAGAGCGUGAGAGGAUGGCCUCCGAGGGAUGGGAGCCUCUGAGGGAUGGCAGGAGACUUUCCCUGGUGCCAGAAUGGUUAUUAGGUAUGUGUCCUCCUGCUCCAUCCUAGACCAUUAAUUAUCCAGACAGCUUCUACCUGUAUCUCCUGACCUAUCAUUCAGCCUGGAAGUCUUGCCUGGACUCUCUACAUGGGCUGUCCCCUCCUUGCUAAUACCUGCUUGUCCCCAAGAAUGACCAGGAGGGAACAAAUGUGAUUUGCACUGUCGUCACUGCUUUGUACUGUCAGCAUCUCCUGAGCCCCUCAAUGCAAUUCUAGAGCUCCAGGCGCAAAGAAAAAUCUCCUCCUGAGGAAACUUCAUUGUUUCAAUGCAAAAAAAAAAAAAAAAAAAGCAACAACUGUAUCUGAAAAAUCUUCAACAUUCUCAGGUCAGUUAAUCUAUGAACAAAAGUUUGUUGUCACAUAGACCAAGCACAAAGAGGAAGAGAUGGGUCUUAGUUUCCAGCUAUUUAUUCUUAUGAGGGAUAGAAAACCACAAUUUCAGCAGGGCCAUUUUUACCACCAAUCCCUUCUACGUAGGAGAAAACAACCCGGACAAUAGACCAGCUCAGUGAGAAAUAAAAACCUUGGUUUAAUCUCUUCCCACUUAAUAAUGACACAUGGCAUAAAAUAAUGGAACAUGUGAUGACAGCUCUGUUUGAUCAGUGGUAUAUUUUAGAAAAUCUAAAUACAGAUCAGAUGCUGCCAAUGAAAAUAUUGCAUUGGCAUUGAGAUGCACUGUAAAUGUAAAAUGCGUAUUAUAUUUUGAAGACCUAGGAUAAAAAAUCAUGAAUCAUUAAUAAUAAUUAAUACUAAAUGUUAAAAUUUUUUUUUGGUCUUUUUGUCUUUUCUAGGGCCACACCCGUGGCAUAUGGAGGUUCCCAGGCUAGGGCUCUAAUCGGAGCUGUAGCUGCCAGCCUACACCACAGCCACGGCAACGAGGGAUCUGAGCCGCAUCUGUGACCUACAUCACAGCUCACGGCAAUGCCGGAUCCUUAACCCACUGAGUGAGGCCAGGGAUCAAACCCAAAACCUCAUGGUUCUCAGUCGGAUUUGUUAACCACUGAGCCACAAUGGGAACUCCUAUUUUGGAUAUUAUAUUAACUAAAAGGUAUUACUAACAUAAAUUUUACCUUUUAUCUUUUCAGUUUUUUUUUUAAAUGUGUCUAGUAGACUGUUUAAAAUUAUAUAAGUGGCUCCCCCCCACCCCCACCCCCGCCAUCAGAUAGCAGUGCAGUAGAAACUGAACCAUAUUUAGAGCCUCCACCAGGCAGCUGGGCUGGAGCACUUGAAGUGGCUAGUUUCUAGUUCUGCUUCCUUACUCAGAAAAUCAGCGAUACCGCUUUCAUAAUGAGUUCCUCUUUUGCUGACAGUAUGGUGAAUUAAUUGUUUUCCUCCUAAAACCAGUCUUUCUUAGUAAGCACAACCUUUAAAGAUCACAGACUUAUGAGUUAAGCAGACUUAGGUUUGUAUCCUCCUCUAGGAAAUAAGCGAAAUAAUCCUUACUUCCUGGGAUUGCUGUGCAGGAUGAGAUGAUGCAUAAGGUGCUCGCAGCGGCACUCUGUAACUGGUCCAGGUAAUGGCUAUUGUAUUACUAUAGGAGUGAGUUCAGCUUUUCUUGAGAAUUCCAAAGGGAUCCAGGAAGGAUGCCUGGCGCUCCAUUGUCCAGGCGCUCCAUUGUCCAGUCCAUAAAUAUCCCCUGCCUAGUUUCAUAGCAUGGAUAAGAGCCUGCCUUCCACUGUCUGGAAAGACCUGGACCAAACACUGGUAAAUGUUCUUAGGGUCCUUUGCUGGGUCCAUAACCCCCUGCCACCCAGCUUCCUCACUGAGUCCCCCUUCAAUGUUAACCUCAUCAAAGCAUGAGGAGAAGUUUAUUUCUUGUCCCACCAGUUUUUGUACAGUUUAUGAGGACCACAGAAAGAGGACAUGGAAAUAGCUUCCUUGUAUGAAGAAUCUGUUGGGAUGCAGAUUCUGUACUAAGCACUAUAUGUGCAUUAUUUCGAAUCUGCAUGACACACCUGCAAGGUGGAUAUCAUUGUCCCCAGUUGACACCACAAACUAAAAUUCUGAGAGGUUGAGUGACUUUGUCCUAGGCCACCUAGCUGAUGCUUAUAAAACCUUUAAAGUAUGCCUGAAUUGGGUGGAGCGCUAACCCUUCAGGCUGUGUGAGCUCGGGUGGGUUGCUUAACUUCUCUGUUUUCCCUGUCUGUAACUUGGGGAAAAUACAGUGUGUCAUGAGGAAGACAAUGAGAUAAGCAUCACACAUUUAGUAUAAAGCUCCCCUAUUGAAGGGUCUUUAAAUUACAUGGAAAUCUUUUCUUGGCCAUUGAAAUUUUUCAUAUCUUAGUAUUUUUUUUUUUUUUUUUAUUUUAACAGCUGCACCUGCAGCAUGUGGAAGUUCCCCGUCUAGGGGUUGAAUUGGAACUGCAGCUGCAGACCUACACCACAGCCAUGGCAACCCUGGAUCCAAGCACAGCUUGUGGCAAUGCCGGGUCCUUAAUCCACUGAGUGAGGCCAGGGAUUGAACCCGCACCCUCAUGGACACUAUGUCAGGGUCUUAACCCACUGAGCCACGGUGGGAACUCCCUCAUAUCUUAUUAAAAAAAAAUCAGUAUUUACUGAACAGAUUCUGUAUCAGAAAACAGAGCACAAGGUGUAUCUUCAUGAAAUAAAACAUGAAACACGCAGUCAAUGAUUUUAUUAUUUGGCAUUAGGAUAUCAAAGAAGUUUGUAAGAUUGUUUUUCCAGCAUAAAUUCCUUGGCAUUGCUUGAGAGAGCAUCUCAAACAGCGUGAAUAACAAACACAUUGUUAAAAUUUUCUCUUACCAGUGUUCUGACUUUCGUCUUUGAUCUUAUGAAUUUAGGCCAACACUUUGUUUUCUGUUUCUGUCCUGUAUACUCCGUUGGCAGGCAACACUUAAAAGCCCUGCGAAGAGAAACUUUGUGGGUGAAGACAAAUAAAGGCAACUAAUAAAAAAA